Molecule: ribosomal RNA, 1118 nt
Filed under: Schizopygopsis stoliczkai (false osman)
Lineage: Eukaryota; Metazoa; Chordata; Actinopteri; Cypriniformes; Cyprinidae
Description: partial 16S ribosomal RNA
Rfam family: Bacterial large subunit ribosomal RNA
Source: RNAcentral
GCCAAACAGCUAGCUCAAUUACCCAAUAACUAAACAAUAUAAAUAAAACAAAAUAAGCCUAACACCAAAAAUUAAAUCAUUCUUUUACCUUAGUAUGGGCGACAGAAAAGGUUACACCUGGAGCAAUAGAAAAAGUACCGCAAGGGAAAGCUGAAAGAGAAAUGAAAUAACUUAUAUAAGCACCAAAAAGCAAAGAUUAAAUCUUGUACCUUUCGCAUCAUGAUUUAGCCAGUAUACCCAAGCAAAGAGACCUUUAGUUUGAAACCCCGAAACCAAGUGAGCUACCCCGAGACAGCCUAUUAAGGGCCAACCCGUCUCUGUGGCAAAAGAGUGGGAAGAGCUCCGGGUAGAGGUGACAGACCUACCGAACUUGGUGAUAGCUGGUUGCCUAAGAAGUGAAUAGAAGUUCAGCCUCGUACUCCCUGAAUCAAAAGAUAUAAAAAGAUAUUAGAGGGAAAUAUAUGAGAGUUAGUUAAAGGGGGUACAGCCCCUUUAACAAAGGACACAACCUUUCCAGGAGGAUAAAGAUCAUAAUACAUAAGACAUCCUGUUCUAGUGGGCCUAAAGGCAGCCAUCUAAACAGAAAGCGUUAAAGCUCAGACAGAAAUAAGUUUAUUAUUCCGACAAGAAAUCUUACUCCCCUAAAUAUUAUUAGGCCAGCCCAUGCCCACAUGGGAGAGACUAUGCUAAAAUGAGUAACAAGAAGGCCAGCCCUUCUCCAAGCACAAGUGUAAGCCAAACCGGACCGACCAUUGGCAAUUAACGAACUCAACCCGAGAGAGUAAUGUGUAUUACAACGAAACCAGGAAGAACCCACAAUUAACCCAUCGUUACCCCCACACUGGCGUGCUAUUAAAGGAAAGACUAAAAGAAGGGAAAGGAACUCGGCAAACACAAGCCUCGCCUGUUUACCAAAAACAUCGCCUCCUGCAACACAACCAAGUAUAGGAGGUCCAGCCUGCCCAGUGACUACAAGUUCAACGGCCGCGGUAUUUUGACCGUGCAAAGGUAGCGCAAUCACUUGUCUCUUAAAUGGAGACCUGUAUGAAUGGCUAAACGAGGGCUUAACUGUCUCCCCCCUCCAGUCAGUGAAAUUGAUCUACCCGUGCAGAAGCGGG